GAUGAACGCUGGCGGCGUGCCUAAUACAUGCAAGUCGAGCGAACAGAUGAGGAGCUUGCUCCUCUGACGUUAGCGGCGGACGGGUGAGUAACAUGUGGAUAACCUACCUAUAAGACUGGGAUAACUUCGGGAAACCGGAGCUAAUACCGUAUAAUAUAUUGAUCCGCAUGGUCCAAUAGUGAAAGACGGUUUUGCUGCUACUUAUAGAUGGAUCCGCGCCGCAUUAGCUAGUUGGUAAGGUAACGGCUUACCAAGGCAACGAUGCGUAGCCGCCCUGAGAGGGUGAUCGCCCACACUGGAACUGGGACACGGUCCAGACUCCUACGGGAGGCAGCAGUAGGGAAUCUUCCGCAAUGGGCGAAAGCCUGACGGAGCAACGCCGCGUGAGUGAUGAAGGUCUUCGGAUCGUAAAACUCUGUUAUUAGGGAAGAACAAAUGUGUAAGUAACUGUGCACGUCUUGACGGUACCUAAUCAGAAAGCCACGGCUAACUACGUG
This 497-nucleotide ribosomal RNA is filed under the name uncultured bacterium. RNAcentral's name for it is "partial 16S ribosomal RNA". It matches the Rfam family "Bacterial small subunit ribosomal RNA", at positions 28 to 507 of the family's 1533-position model. The record is from RNAcentral.